This is a non-coding RNA of Desmophyllum pertusum, 72 nucleotides long. The record is from the annotation of a GenBank genome assembly. NCBI's taxonomy places the organism in Eukaryota, Metazoa, Cnidaria, Anthozoa, Scleractinia, Caryophylliidae.
UCUCCUGUAGCUCAUUGGUAGAGCGUCCGACCGGUGUGCGGAAGGUCAUAGGUUUGACCGCUGUUAGGAGAA